Molecule: ribosomal RNA, 301 nt
Filed under: uncultured bacterium
Lineage: Bacteria
Description: partial 16S ribosomal RNA
Rfam family: Bacterial small subunit ribosomal RNA
Source: RNAcentral
CAGUAGCCGCGGUAACACAGAGGGUGCGAGCGUUAAUCGGAUUUACUGGGCGUAAAGCGUGCGUAGGCGGCUUUUUAAGUCGGAUGUGAAAUCCCUGAGCUUAACUUAGGAAUUGCAUUCGAUACUGGGAAGCUAGAGUAUGGGAGAGGAUGGUAGAAUUCCAGGUGUAGCGGUGAAAUGCGUAGAGAUCUGGAGGAAUACCGAUGGCGAAGGCAGCCAUCUGGCCUAAUACUGACGCUGAGGUACGAAAGCAUGGGGAGCAAACAGGAUUAGAUACCCCAGUAGUCCCUGUCUCUUAUCC